UACGGAGGGUGCAAGCGUUGCUCGGAAUCACUGGGCGUAAAGGGCGUGUAGGCGGUCCUGUGUGUCUGACGUGAAAGCCCCGGGCUCACCCCGGGAAGUGCGUUGGAAACUGCAGGACUGGAGUCCCGGAGAGGAAGGUGGAAUUCCAGGUGUAGCGGUGAAAUGCGUAGAUAUCUGGAAGAACACCGGUGGCGAAGGCGGCCUUCUGGACGGUGACUGACGCUGAGACGCGAAAGCGUGGGGAGCAAACAGG
RNAcentral lists this ribosomal RNA (253 nucleotides) under uncultured bacterium. RNAcentral describes it as "partial 16S ribosomal RNA". It matches the Rfam family "Bacterial small subunit ribosomal RNA", at positions 524 to 776 of the family's 1533-position model. The record is from RNAcentral.